AGUUGCCUAGGAAACCGUAACCAUUAAGUAUGAUGUUAGCUGUAGGUUGUCGAUGUCCUUUAUCACAUUUAGAAAGUCCCCUUCUAUUCCUAGUUUGCUGAGAGUUUUUAUCAUAAAUUUUGACAAGUGCUUUUUCUGUAUCUAUGGGGAUGAUCAUAUGCUGGUUUGUUGGGUUUUUUUUCUUUUCUUUUUUUUUUUCUGGCCUUUAUCCUGUUAAUGUAGUGAAUUAUAUUACUUUAUUUUUGACCCUGAAGUCAUUUGUGGAGUAAACCCUGCAUUUCUGGAGUAAACCCCACUUGGUCAUGACUUAUCCUUUUAUAUAUUGCUUGAUUAUAUAUGGCUAAUACUCGGUAAUGGGAUUUUAUAUUAUGUUCAUGAGGGAUAUUGGUCUAUAACUGCCUUUCUUAUAGCAUCCUUGCUAUGUAUUGAUUUAAAUUCCUGUUCAUUUUUCAGUCCAUUUCUGGAUUUUAUAUUCUAUUCUCUUCCAUGAAUCAUUGCCUUUCUUAUCUUACUAUUGUUAACGGGUGGAUUGUUGGGUAUUUAGGAAUUGGGUUAUUUCCCAUGUCCUGUUAUUACAGACAACGCUGCAAUGAACAGUAUUUCGGCUAGAUCUUUUCCGACUCCUUGAUUAUACCCUUAGUAUAAAUCCUUAGAAGUUGAGUAACUGGGCCAAUGCAGAGAUGGAAGCAGAGUAGUGUACAAGUGCUUUCUUCCUCCGUGCCUUCCAGGGGCCCCUUCCAUCCCACUCAUGCGUCCCGUUGAUGGAACCUAAGCGGAAGCAAAAUGGCAUAGAAAUGUGGAAAAGUCCUUGGCAGGAUCCAGCUCCCACUGAGACAGAGCAGCAGGGCUGGGAUCGAGGACAUUGGAUCUGCGCAGCUGUAAGGAGCCCUGUCCUUAGAGAAGCCCUUUGCUGUCAGUGUCUUGAAAUUCAUAAUCCUUUCUGAGCAAGGGGUCUUGCGUUUUCACAUUGCUCUGGCCCUGCAGAUGAUGUGGUCGGUCCUGCCGAGCCGAGCACGGAGGGACCAGAACGGAGCUGAGCGGAAAAUGCCAGGGCUGCUCUGUUACCAAAUGGUUCCUCACAAAGUUUAUGCCAAUUUGAAUUACUUCCCAAUGUAGGGAGUUGCCUGGGAAACCACAAAUUCGUUAUGGUGCUGAUAGGGAAGUGCUUAAGGGUCCCCCUCGACAGUCUCCAGCAGUAGCAAAAGCAAGAGCAGAGAAGUCAACGAAUUGGUUCCUUGCUCUUCCAACUCAGGGAGUCUGACUAGAAACCCUCCCUGUGCUCCAAUGUGUCACCCACCCUUCACCCUUAAAGAAGAAAACAGAUCUGACUGGUGACACGAUGGCCUCUACUCCCUUGGGACUUGGACACCAGCCAUGUUGCCAUGUUGAUUCUAGUCUGUCAAGUGGGCCAAGACGGCUGCAGCUUCCUUGAUCUAGGGCUGUGUUGGACGGUUAGCAUAGGGGGAACUCGUGAAGGACUCCAAGACUACAGCUUUCUGAGGCCCAGCCUCCUGAAAUGGAAAAUACCAACAAUGGAAAACACCAGGAUUCUGUAUUUAACAAAAUCACCGCAGGUUGCCUGGUGCUGGUUUAGAAACCAUGGCUUAGGUGGAACCCCUCCAAGAGCACGGAGCAGGAGGCACGCUCCGCAGCUGCUGAGGAGACAGAUGUGCACUGUAAAUAAAUGGGCCACGGAGGAGAAAAGCGCCCCCCUUCAGAGCUGUUGAGCUGGGGAGAGGUGCUGGGAAAGCCUGGAGUCUGUUUUUGCCAGUAAGUCCUUGAGUUUAGGUAUGGAAGCUGGAAAAAGCCCCGACUGGAGCAGGGGCUCAGCAGAGUCAGCUGUGUGACCUUGGGCAAGCCAUGCCCCAUCUCCUGGCCUCAGUUUCCCAUCUGUAAAAUGGGAGUGCAGGCUGGUUGAUCUCUAAGGUGUUUCUACGACACCUGGGCACUUACCUACCAUCCUUUUUGAUGGGGACGUGCUGCAAUUCUAAGUGUGCUCCUUUAUCUUAAUGUUUUCAUAGAAUGCUUUACAGACCCAGUGCUUGUCGCAUGGAACCUGUUCUAGUCACAUCAUUCCCCCUCCCGCCCUCAAGCUGUGUGACUACCCACAGCACUCAGAGCAUUCUGAGAAGAUUCUUGGGCUGGAAAAGCAACUUCCAAGAAGGUGAGAUCUAGGGA
Molecule: long non-coding RNA, 2178 nt
Organism: Mustela lutreola (European mink)
Lineage: Eukaryota; Metazoa; Chordata; Mammalia; Carnivora; Mustelidae
Exons: 3
Source: RefSeq, a predicted model, not a curated record